UACGUAGGGUGCGAGCGUUACUCGGAAUUACUGGGCGUAAAGCGUGCGCAGGCGGUCUGUUAAGACCGAUGUGAAAUCCCCGGGCUUAACCUGGGAACUGCAUUGGUGACUGGCAGGCUUUGAGUGUGGCAGAGGGAGGUAGAAUUCCACGUGUAGCAGUGAAAUGCGUAGAGAUGUGGAGGAAUACCGAUGGCGAAGGCAGCCUCCUGGGCCAACACUGACGCUCAUGCACGAAAGCGUGGGGAGCAAACAGG
Molecule: ribosomal RNA, 254 nt
Filed under: uncultured bacterium
Lineage: Bacteria
Description: partial 16S ribosomal RNA
Rfam family: Bacterial small subunit ribosomal RNA
Source: RNAcentral